GAUGAACGCUGGCGGCGUGCCUAAUACAUGCCAGUCGAGCGAACAGAUGAGGAGCUUGCUCCUCUGACGUUAGCGGCGGACGGGUGAGUAACACGUGGAUAACCUACCUAUAAGACUGGGAUAACUUCGGGAAACCGGAGCUAAUACCGGAUAAUAUAUUGAACCGCAUGGUUCAAUAGUGAAAGACGGUUUUGCUGUCACUUAUAGAUGGAUCCGCGCCGCAUUAGCUAGUUGGUAAGGUAACGGCUUACCAAGGCAACGAUGCGUAGCCGACCUGAGAGGGUGAUCGGCCACACUGGAACUGAGACACGGUCCAGACUCCUACGGGAGGCAGCAGUAGGGAAUCUUCCGCAAUGGGCGAAAGCCUGACGGAGCAACGCCGCGUGAGUGAUGAAGGUCUUCGGAUCGUAAAACUCUGUUAUUAGGGAAGAACAUAUGUGUAAGUAACUAUGCACGUCUUGACGGUACCUAAUCAGAAAGCCACGGCUAACUACGUG
Molecule: ribosomal RNA, 497 nt
Filed under: uncultured bacterium
Lineage: Bacteria
Description: partial 16S ribosomal RNA
Rfam family: Bacterial small subunit ribosomal RNA
Source: RNAcentral